GUCAAACGGCCUUUCUUGCCAAGCCUUAACUCGCCACUUUAGAACUUCUGCUUCUGCCACAAUUGCACCUUGCCCACCCGGCUCAGAUGAAAUGCCUACAUCUUCCCCUGAAGCAACUGGGCUGAGUCCCAAAUGAUUGAGCGUCCAUGUGCUUAGGAGCCGAUAGACUGUACGCCUUUUUCCAACCACCAUUGUGCACUGCUGGAGAAAGUGUCGGAAAGCAGCUAUGUCAGAAAGACCCCUUUGCUCUCAGCCGUGCCCUCCAUUGCUCUAGACGUGGAAUGCACAAUGCACUGGCUCCACCCCUCAAGGGGCAUCAAGCCACAGACCACCUUGCUUCCAUCUCUUUAGGAAGCUGAGAAGGAACUCGCUUUCAACAGUGAUCUUACAGCAUCCAGGGAACAUUUCAUACAAAGGCAGCUGAAACGCCGUUUCUUUUCAGCCCUUAACUCGCCGAUUUGGAACUUCUGUUUCUGCCACAUUUCCACCUUGCCAACCGAGCUCCGACGAAAUGCCUACAUCUUCCCCUUCAGCAACGGGGAUGAGGCCCAUAUGACUGUGCUUCCACAUGCUUAAGAGGAGAGAGACAAUAGGCUUUUUACACAUCACGAUUGUGCACUGGUGGAGAGAGUUUCAGAAUGCACCUAUGUCAGAAAGGUCCCUUUGAUCUCAGCCGUGCCCCGAAUUGCUCUAGAGGAGGAAGGCACAAUGCACUGGCUCUGGCUCCACCCCUCAGUGGCAGACGAACCACAAACCUUCUUGCGUCCAGCUCUUUAGGACGCUGAGAAAGAGCUCACAUUCCAUAGUGCUCUUAGAGCGUCCAGGGAACAUCUCAUACAAAGGCAGCUGAACACCGUUUCUUCCAGCACUUCACUCGCCAAUCUGGAACAUCUGCUUGUGCCACAUUUCCACCUUGUCAACCCGGCUCAGACGAAAUGCCUACAACUUCCCUUAAGCAAUGGGGACAAGGCCCAGAUGAUUGCGGUUCCACCUGCUUAGUAGGAGAGAGACAAUAGGCUUUUAACCAACCGCCCUUGAGCCAUGGUUGUGGGAGUGUCAGAAAGCACCAAUGUCAGAAAAGGCCCUUUGCUCUCAGCCGUGCCCUCCAUUGCUCUAGAGGUGGAAGGCACAAAGCACUGCCUCCAUCCUACAAUGGGAGACAAGCCAUAAACUGUCUUGCCUCCAGCUCUUUAGGAAGCUGACAAACAACUCGCUUUCCACAGUGCUGUUAGCGCAUACCAGGAACCUCUCAUACAAAGGCAGCUCAAAGGCCAUGUCUUCCCAGCCCUUAACUCGCAGCUUUAGGACUUCUGCUUCUGCCGCAAUUGCACCUUGCCAACCCGGCUCAGACGAAAUGCCUACAUCUUCCCCUUAAGCAACUGGGCUGAGUCCCAAAUGAUUGAGCGUCCACGUGCUUAGGAGGUGAUAGACUGCACGCCUUUUUCCAACCACCAUUGUGCACUGCUGGAGAGAGUGUCGGAAAGCAGCUAUGUCAGAAAGACCCCUUUGCUCUCAGCCAUGCCCUCCAUUGCUCUAGAUGUGGAAUGCACAAUGCACUGGCUCCACCCCUCAAGGGGCGACAAGCCAAAGACCAUCUUCCUUCCAUUUCUUUAGGAAGCUGAGAAACAACUCGCUUUCAACAGUGCUCUUUCUGUGUCCUCGCAACAUCUCACACAAAGGCAGCUGAUAUGCCUUCUUUUCAGCCCUUAACUCGCCAAUUUGGAACUUCUGCUUCUGCCAGAUUUCCACCUUGCCAACACGGCUCAGAUGAAAUGCCUACAUCUUCCCCUUCAGCAACAGGGACGAGGCCCAGAUGAUUGUGCUUCCACAUGCUUAGCAGGAGCAGACAAUAGGCUUUUUACAAACCGCCAUUGUGCACUGGUGCAGAGAGUGUCAGAAUGCACCUAUGUCAGAAAGGGCCCUUUGCUCUCAGCCGUGCCCUCCAUUGCUCUAGAGGUGGAAGGCACAAAGCACUGCCUCCAUCCUUCAAUUGGAGACAAGCCAUAAACUGUCCUGCUUCCAGCUCUUUAGGAAGAUGGGAAAGCACUCGCAUUCCACAGUGCUCUUACAGCAUCCUGGGAACAUCUCAUACAAAGGCAGCUGAACGCCCUGUCUUUUCAGCCCUUAACUCGCCAAUCUGCAACAUCCGUUCUGCCGCAUUUCCACCUUGCCAACCCGGCUCAGACAAAAUGCCUACAUCUUCCCCUGAAGCAACUGGGCUGAGUCCCAAAUGAUUGAGCGUCCACGUGCUUAGGAGGCAAUAGACUGCACGCCUUUUUCCAACCACCAUUGUGCACUGCUGCAGAGAGUGUCGGAAAGCAGCUAUGUCAGAAAGGCCCCUUUGCUCUCAGCCGUGCCCUCCAUUGCUCUAGAGGUGGAAGAAACAAGGCACUGGCUCUGGAUCCACCCCUCAAUGGGAGACAAACCACAUCUUGUCCUGCUUCCAGCUCUUUAGGAAGCUGAGAAAAAACUCCCUUUCCACAGUGCUCUUACAGCGUCCUGGGAACAUCUCAUACAAAGGAGGCUGAACACCAUUUCUUUUCAGCACUUCACUCGCUGGUCUGGGGCAUCUGCAUCCUGCACAUUACCAUCUUGCCUACCCGGCUCAGACAAAAUGCCUACAUCUUCCCCUUGAGCAAUGGGGACGAGGCCCUGAUGAUUGUGCUUCCACAUGCUGAGGAGGAGAGAGACAAUAGGCUUUUAACUAACCACUAAGUGCAAUGGUUGGGAGAGUGUCAGAAAGCACCAAUGUCAGAAAGACCCCUUUACUCUCAGCCAUGCCCUCCAUUGCUCUAGAGAUGGAAGGCACAAAGCACUGCCUCCAUCCUUCAACUGGAGACAAGCCAGAAACUGUCCUGCUUCCAACUCUUUAGGAAGCUGGGAAAGCACGUGCAUUGCACAGUGCUCUUACAGCGUCCUGGGAACAUCUCAUUCAAAGGCAGCUGAACGCCGUGUCAUUUCAGCCCUUAACCCGCCAAUCUGCAACAUCUGCUUCUGCCGCAUUUCCAGCUUGCCAACCCAGAUGAGACGAAAUGCCUCCAUCUUCUCCUUG
Equus caballus (horse) is the source of this 3052-nucleotide long non-coding RNA. The record is from Ensembl. NCBI's taxonomy places the organism in Eukaryota, Metazoa, Chordata, Mammalia, Perissodactyla, Equidae.